This 439-nucleotide ribosomal RNA is filed under the name uncultured bacterium. Its description in RNAcentral is "partial 16S ribosomal RNA". It matches the Rfam family "Bacterial small subunit ribosomal RNA", at positions 339 to 795 of the family's 1533-position model. The record is from RNAcentral.
CUACGGGUCGCAGCAGUGAGGAAUAUUGCACAAUGGGGGGAACCCUGAUGCAGCAACGCCGCGUGGAGGAUGACGCAUUUCGGUGUGUAAACUCCUUUUAUAUCUCAAGAAAAUGACGGUAGCAUAUGAAUAAGCACCGGCUAACUCCGUGCCAGCAGCCGCGGUAAUACGGAGGGUGCAAGCGUUCCUCGGAAUCACUGGGCGUAAAGGACGCGUAGGCGGGUUGGAAAGUCAGGUGUGAAAUCCUACAGCUUAACUGUAGAACUGCACUUGAAACUUCUAAUCUAGAGUAUGGGAGGGGGAGAUGGAAUUAGUGGUGUAGGGGUAAAAUCCGUAGAUAUCACUAGGAAUACCUAAAGCGAAGGCGAUCUCCUGGAACAUUACUGACGCUAAGGCGUGAAAGCGUGGGGAGCAAACAGGAUUAGAUACCCCCGUAGUC